Triticum aestivum (bread wheat) is the source of this 514-nucleotide long non-coding RNA. RefSeq lists it as uncharacterized. Lineage: Eukaryota; Viridiplantae; Streptophyta; Magnoliopsida; Poales; Poaceae. The record is from RefSeq and is a predicted model, not a curated record. The transcript has 2 exons.
GGCUGAAUUUGCUACUGAGUUGCCACAUUUUGAGGGCCUGCAAUUGAAGAAUACAACACUUGAGAUAACAAUUGAAGAAUACUAGAGUAAUAAUAACUACUGCAAGAGUGAUGUAUUUUCUUUUUGUUGGAGAUUUUCUGCAUCUUUUAUGGACGGUAACAUUUGAGAUAACAAUUUGAUGUGCUAACCAUCAAGAUCAACUUCGACAUGUUUGGUCUCUAAAAGUUACUAUUGACCAUCAUUGGUGCAUCCUAUAAGAAGGGGGAAAUAAAGCAUUAAUGUGGAGUAUGUUCCAAUGGAAAUCUUCAAGAACACCUUGAAGGUAAGCAUCAUAUGAUCCUUCACGUCCAUUCAAUCUAUGUAUGAUAGGUGCAAUCGUCUUUUCAAAUUCUAUGUUACUGAGUUCAGAUGUAUGCAGGUCUGAGUGCAAUUUUUCUUUAGUUCUCUGUGAGCUUAAAAAUGCAACUGAUGUGGCCCAUGCAAAUGAGAUUAAAAACAUGGAGAAGAAUCAUAA